Long non-coding RNA from Triticum aestivum (bread wheat), 4127 nucleotides. RefSeq lists it as uncharacterized. NCBI's taxonomy places the organism in Eukaryota, Viridiplantae, Streptophyta, Magnoliopsida, Poales, Poaceae. The record is from RefSeq and is a predicted model, not a curated record. The transcript has 8 exons.
ACGAGCGAAAUCCACAGCGAGCAGUCGCACGAGGGCCACAGCGAUCGAGCAAGAGGAAAAAGGCAUCGAACCCUAGCCCCAAUCCACAGCCCCGCGCCCCUCACUCCUCCCUCCCUUGUCCGCCGCCACUCCCUCCCACCUCCUCCUCCUGUGCCCUAGGAGCCCCGCCACCGACUGCUACUCCUCCACCGCCUCGCCUCUUCCUCCUCCUCGCCUUCCCAUCGCUUGUCUUCAGGCCGCAGCGGUGGUUCCCGAUCUGAGCCGUCUUCAGGUACGUGGAGCGACGGAGGUCGGCUCCCUCCUUCUCCAAGGUCGCACGACGGGAGAGGACUCAGCCCCGAUGCUCUGCCUCUCCAUGUGUCUCCGCAAGCCAUCGUCUGAUGCCGUCGUUGCCCGCCAUCAUCUUUCUCGCUGCCUGCUUGCUAGAGAGCCAUGGCUUUCCUCGCUGUGGCUGAUGCUUAUGCGUUCAGUUAGGGUAAGGACGUGCAUCCCCUUCCAACAGAUCAAUUUCUCUCAUCGCUCUUCAAGCACUGAUUUGUUCUUCCCUUUCUCUUCUAAUUUUCUUGUUGUUCAUACAACCGCUGCUCGGUUUCUUGCUUCUGCCUCUUCCGUAUGCAUGUCCGCACCGUUUGUUCCAAGAAGCGAAGGCGGAGGUGGAGAUGCGGGAGAGGCCGAGUCCGAGGUGGCAGAGGACGGGCGAUGAAAAUGGCACAGAGUGGUCGCGGGCUCAUUCCGGCGGCCGGCGCACGCAGCCGUGAGGGGUGGGGUGGAUGAGCAAGCGGCGUCGCCGCCGCUGCCUCGUGCCUGCGGGCGAGAAGGUAAGAGGCAGGUAGGGUUGGGGAUUUUCACCAUGCCUAUUUAUUCAGUUUCCUCCGUUCCUAUCCUCCCACAUGACGGUUGAACGCCAACAGGUGGAGAGCGCACACCGCUCCAAUGGAGAAAAACAUGUGAUUCAAAUCAUGUUGUACUAUGUUCUUAUCGUCUUAGUUGAUUGCUCUGUAUGAUAUGGUUGUGUUAGAUUAGUCUACUUUGGUUGCUAAAAUUCCUUGCAGUUUCUAUGUGCUUUUGUGGUCACUUACAUACAUAUGAUGGGUAUUUGCAGUCGUGUGUGUAGUGGACCCUUUUCUGGGUAUGCUGUGCAUCCCCCAAGUAUUCGCCAAUUUAACAUUCACAUUUGAUGUUUGGUCGUGUGUAUAUGCAUUUCAGACGGUGGCAGUUUAAAAUUUUACUAGCAAGGCUUCAAAGAUUGUCAAAUUCUCAGAGUCUACUUGGAAGUUGACAAUACAUGCUAUGCCUCUGUUCAAGAUCUCUUUAUAUGUUUAUAUUUUGAGGUAAUUGGGGAUUGAACUGAACUUCUGCUUGCAGAUGGCAUGCAUAUGUUGAUGUACCAAAUAUCAAGGCAUUGCUAUAGCAGCCAUUGCUUUUGCCUAGCUGCGAUUCCAUCUUGCAUUGAGUACACAACAUCUAUUAUGAAGCAGCAGAUCGCCACCUCCUACCCCCACAGUUUACAGCAAGCAGCAACAAGUUCAUAGUCUGGCCGAGGAGCAAGUACCACCGAGGCCUUCAUCGAGCUCAAGAUGGUACCCUGGAAUGGUGAUAUCGCUCCCCGACCUCUCCCAUCUAUCUAUUUUUGUACUGUACAUGUUUGGUCUGGACAAUGAUGGUUGUAAUGCAUAAUUUAAGUUUCAAAGAAAAAGAAGGGGGCUAUUGGGUUGGACAAGAUGAUGGUUUCUUAAUUUAAUUUUUGUGUUGAUGUUAUCUUACUAAUAUGAAGAAUAAUCAUUCCAUCCUUUUAUCUUCAAAAUCAAAGGAGAAAAUAAUGGGUUCGGACAAUAAAGAUGGGUUUAAUUUUAUUUUUCUUGCUAUAGAUUGCUAACAUGAACAAUUAUAGCUAUGACUGUUGCAUUGCACGGUAUCAUGCACUGUUGCUCCAUGGUGAUGAUUCGUUCAUGCUCCUCUUUUCACUAGAAAUACUAAAAAAAAGUAGUUGCAGUUUUACUUAUUUAUUCAGUUGCCUUGCUUUCCAAAUGUGAGAGGCGUGAGUAGGAACAUCUCCUCUACUGUAUUUAUUUGGUGGCUUACAGUGAUUUGUUCCCUGAAAUACAAAUAGUUCAUACUUCUAAUCAUUUAUGAACAAAUCGGGUAUAGAUAAUGUUUGGUUGCUCUUUGUAUUGUCAAGAAGUAUGUGGUCUGAUGUAUCUUGAGAUUUUGCAAGUCAGUAACAUUGCACACUUUCUAUGGAUUUAUAAUAACACACAAUUCUGUACCUAUAUAUUGGAUUGUUGGUUCAUCAACACCAAAAAUGUUACUGUCUGCUACUUUUUAGUCGCGCAGAUAUAGUAGCUAAUGGUUCUUUGGGGUUUUGUUCAACAGCACUAGGAACUUCUCACGGUGGCAUAAUUAUUUCAGAAGCUCUUUAGAUUCGUAAUGCUCAUCACACCAUGUUGUAGUUAACUAUUGGUUGGGAGAAUAUUUUCAAUCGUAUUGAGAUGUCAAAGGAAGCACAAGCCAAGAUCAAUACUGAUUUUUAUAAUUGCAUUAUAGUUUACUUAUGUGCGUGCUCCUUAGAUGAUUCUGAUUCAGUUCGUGGAAAUUUGAGUGUUUUCUUCUAAUUUGAGUGUUAAGCAGCAUCUAGAACUGCCAUUAUAUAUUUAGUGUAGUAGGUUGAUGCAACUUUGUAACCAGUCAUGGAUUUAAAAUAGGCUUUCUACCUCUUUAUUUUGGUCGGCAUGUUUUCCCAGGAUUUUUUAAAAUUGAUUUGUUGUAUAUUAAUUACAUUUUAGUAGAUUCUUGACUAAGAAAGACUGAACUUUUUAUUCAUGAGGACUAAUACAUAGUUUUCCCUCUGGCUUAUUUGUUUGCUCUCCACACUUUAAUUCUACAUAAAAGUACAUUCUUUUGUUAUUUAUUUAAUAAUGCAAUCUCCACUACCUAUCUUCUUUUGAUAUGAAAAUAAAUCAUUAAUAUCGUACCUUUAUUAAUUUCCCAUACUGUCGAGUCAUGUAUUUAGAGUAGCUUCUAUGAUCUAGCAAAGCAUUGGACUAUUGAACCAACUGUAUAUCUCAUUUCACUCCUUUUCUUAUGUUAUCAAAUACUUUUACUAAAUUUUAUUCAUGGAUGUUGGUUAUAGUGUAUAAUGCAACCAUGCCAGUGACAGGGAGAAGGAGCAGGCGUUGAGUUGUGCAAGCAGCAGGAGCAGUCGCACCCUUCCAAGAAAGGUGAGCAUGGGUCUGUUCUUGCUGGAUUUAUCUCAAGACCAACUAGCACGCCCGCCCGUUUCAUUGAUUCCAUUUGAAGGACCAUUGCCAUUUUUUAUGUCGUUCCUGUCCAGUCAACGCACCAGCUAGAACCAUCGAAUACAUAAACGAUUAUCCUUGCUGACUUGCAAAUCUACACGGGCCAGGAGCUAAAGCGGGUCCUUUGGGAUAAUCGAGCACUUGAAUUUGAGGAAGAGGUAGUGUUUGGAAGGGAUGAGAGACAAGUGAUCAUUGCAAUUUUUGUGGGAACAUUGCCCAAGAUGGCGAAGUGCAGGAUCUGCCGCCACUAUUGGAGACACCUUGUCAAGCACCACGGCUACGCAGAUCGAAGCCGCUGUCACGUGCCGAAGAGUCACCAUCGCCAGCCAUCGGUUUCUUCUGCGGCAAUGGCUAAUCCAGCCCAACUUCAGGCGCGGGCCGGUCUCCGUCGACAAGCACCGUCUUCUGCCACAAGAACCGCCACCCAUUCCGAAUCCCAGCAGUAUUUUCAGGUCCACUACACCAAAGAAAAGCUGGAAGAGUACAUCAAACCAGAUGGUAACACACUCAAGGUCAGACUCGCAAACAUCAAUCUGCGCACCAAUUGUCGUAUCAUGCUGGGAACAGACAAGAGAGCCACAAUAACCACAAACUGGUCGGAGUUCCACCGCCGUGCAAACAUCCAUGAAGGACGUAUCUGCACCUUCCCUUUCAAGGUUACCGCAGAGCACCGCUUGGCUCUCAUCGUCCAUGUCCUCUAGAUGGACCAUCUACAGCAACACGUGUCUUCUGCACGCAUUGUCUAUCAUCGUAAGAACAUCUAAUUUGCCUCUAUGAUAAGAUGAACCUUACUUGUGGUUUCCAACGAUGCCAUACGUUGCCUUUGUACAA